RNAcentral lists this long non-coding RNA (942 nucleotides) under Homo sapiens (human). RNAcentral's name for it is "HSALNT0301601". The record is from RNAcentral. Lineage: Eukaryota; Metazoa; Chordata; Mammalia; Primates; Hominidae.
AGAAGUCAACACUCUCAGGAAGAAUUCGAAGAAAUGUGGAGGAAGCAUUAAAGGAAAGGAAACAAGAGCAAGAAAAAUGGAGAGUAACCAGGAUAAUGAGAUUAAAAAAAUUACACUGUGGGAGAUAUGGUUGAAAGAAAUGACAAUGUUUAACCUAGAGAGAAGGAAUGUGAUAACUUUCUUCAAAUAUUUUUAGUACUGUCACAUAUGGGUAACCAACCAUCUUCAGUCUGUAUGUCUCUCCAAUGCAUCCUGAAUCACUGGGAUUCCUUUGAAAAGAGAAAAUCAACCUUCUUCUUCCUGUUUCCUCCUCUGUCCUCUCUUCAUGGAUGAAUAAUCAUGUCUCCAUACCACAGGACAUUUCCCUCUGUGAAAAGUUUAAUUUCUGCAUUAAACCACUUGGCUUAAAAAAAAAUGAACUGGGAAGACAUUAUAACUCACAUUCCCCUCUGUGAAAAGUUUAAUUUCCAUAAACCUUAAAUCACUUGACUUAAAAAAAAAAUGAACUGGGAAAACUCUAACUGAGCAAUCUCUUGAGGAAGGACAAUGUUUACAGUAUGCAAAUAACCUAUUUGUCUGCUCCCCCUUUACGGAACUCCAGGGUCAAAGGGCUUCAUAGCUCGGGGGAAGGGAACCCAGAAGCCUGACAUGCUGGCAAACGAGUAAAAGUUUUUUACCCAUCAGACUUCUGGCUUUUCUCUCUCUCUGUGCAAACUGUUUGAAUGAAUGAUAAAAAUCACUGUUUAUAUACUCUGAAACGUUGUGAUUAAUGGAAAAAGGAUUUGUGAGGUGAGUCUUAAGCUAUAGAGAAUCUGUGAUACUUUGUGUUAAGAAUUUCUCUUUCUGUAUCUUUCUAUCAGAAAGAGGGGUACCUUAGGAUAAAAUGUGGGUCUAGGCCCAAAUGUCCAACAAUGAUAGACUGGGUUAAGAAAAUGUGGCACA